AACAGGAUUAGAUACCCUGGUAGUCCACGCCGUAAACGAUGUCUACUAGCUGUUCGUGACCUUGUGUCGUGAGUAGCGCAGCUAACGCAUUAAGUAGACCGCCUGGGGAGUACGGUCGCAAGAUUAAAACUCAAAUGAAUUGACGGGGGCCCGCACAAGCGGUGGAGCAUGUGGUUUAAUUCGACGCAACGCGAAGAACCUUACCUACUCUUGACAUCUACAGAACUUAGCAGAGAUGCUUUGGUGCCUUCGGGAACUGUAAGACAGGUGCUGCAUGGCUGUCGUCAGCUCGUGUUGUGAAAUGUUGGGUUAAGUCCCGCAACGAGCGCAACCCUUAUCCUUAGUUGCCAGCACGUAAUGGUGGGAACUCUAGGGAGACUGCCGGUGAUAAACCGGAGGAAGGUGGGGACGACGUCAAGUCAUCAUGGCCCUUACGAGUAGGGCUACACACGUGCUACAAUGGUAUGUACAGAGGGAGGCAAGCCUGCGAGGGUGAGCGGAUCUCUUAAAGCUUAUCGUAGUCCGGAUCGCAGUCUGCAACUCGACUGCGUGAAGUCGGAAUCGCUAGUAAUCGCAAAUCAGAAUGUUGCGGUGAAUACGUUCCCGGGCCUUGUACACACCGCCCGUCACACCAUGGGAGUGGGUUGCAAAAGAAGUAGGUAGCUUAACCUUCGGGAGGGCGCUUACCACUUUGUGAUUCAUGACUGGGGUGAAGUCGUAACAAGGUAACC
This 731-nucleotide ribosomal RNA is filed under the name uncultured bacterium. RNAcentral's name for it is "bacterial SSU rRNA". It matches the Rfam family "Bacterial small subunit ribosomal RNA", at positions 771 to 1501 of the family's 1533-position model. The record is from RNAcentral.